GACGAACGCUGGCGGCGUGCUUAACACAUGCAAGUCGAACGGAAAGGCCCUGCUUUUGUGGGGUGCUCGAGUGGCGAACGGGUGAGUAACACGUGAGUAACCUGCCCUUGACUUUGGGAUAACUUCAGGAAACUGGGGCUAAUACCGGAUAGGAGCUCCUGCUGCAUGGUGGGGGUUGGAAAGUUUCGGCGGUUGGGGAUGGACUCGCGGCUUAUCAGCUUGUUGGUGGGGUAGUGGCUUACCAAGGCUUUGACGGGUAGCCGGCCUGAGAGGGUGACCGGCCACAUUGGGACUGAGAUACGGCCCAGACUCCUACGGGAGGCAGCAGUGGGGAAUAGUGCAAAAUGGGCGGAAGCAUGAUGCAGCAACGCCGCGUGCGGGAUGACGGCCUUCGGGUUGUAAACCGCUUUCGCCUGUGACGAAGCGUGAGUGACGGUAAUGGGUAAAGAAGCACCGGCUAACUACGU
Molecule: ribosomal RNA, 467 nt
Filed under: uncultured bacterium
Lineage: Bacteria
Description: partial 16S ribosomal RNA
Rfam family: Bacterial small subunit ribosomal RNA
Source: RNAcentral